Molecule: ribosomal RNA, 380 nt
Filed under: uncultured cyanobacterium
Lineage: Bacteria; Bacillati; Cyanobacteriota
Description: bacterial SSU rRNA
Rfam family: Bacterial small subunit ribosomal RNA
Source: RNAcentral
CGCAAGCCUGACGGAGCAACGCCGCGUGUGGGAAGAAGGCUCUUGGGCUGUCAACCACUUUUCUCAGGGAAGAAGUCCUGACGGUACCUGAGGAAUCAGCCUCGGCUAACUCCGUGCCAGCAGCCGCGGUAAUACGGAGGAGGCAAGCGUUAUCCGGAAUUAUUGGGCGUAAAGCGUCCGCAGGUGGCGAUUCAAGUCUGCUGUCAAAGCACGGGGCUUAACUCCGUUAAGGCAGUGGAAACUGAAUGGCUAGAGUGCCGUAGGGGUAGAGGGAAUUCCCGGUGUAGCGGUGAAAUGCGUAGAGAUCGGGAAGAACAUCGGUGGCGAAAGCGCUCUACUGGACCAUCUCUGACACUCAGAGGACGAAAGCUAGGGGAGCG